This is a non-coding RNA of Ixodes scapularis (black-legged tick), 73 nucleotides long. The record is from Rfam. Lineage: Eukaryota; Metazoa; Arthropoda; Arachnida; Ixodida; Ixodidae.
CCCUGGUUUGCUCAGUUGGCAGAGCGCUCCACUGGAAGUGGAGAGGUCCCUGGUUCGAUAACGGGACCAGGCG